RNAcentral lists this ribosomal RNA (624 nucleotides) under uncultured archaeon. Its description in RNAcentral is "bacterial SSU rRNA". It matches the Rfam family "Archaeal small subunit ribosomal RNA", at positions 147 to 776 of the family's 1478-position model. The record is from RNAcentral.
UAAUACCUAUAGGUUACAGAUGCUGGAAUGCUCUGUAAUCAAAAGUUCCGGCGCCCUAGGAUGGAUCUGCGGCCGAUUAGGUUGUUGUUGGGGUAAUGGCCCAACAAGCCAGUAAUCGGUACGGGUUGUGGGAGCAAGAGCCCGGAGUUGGAUUCUGAGACACGAAUCCAGGCCCUACGGGGCGCAGCAGGCGCGAAAACUUUACAAUGCGGGCAACCGUGAUAAGGGAACCUCGAGUGCCUGUAAAUGCAGGCUGUUCAGAUGCCUAAAACACAUCUGGAGAAAGGGCCGGGCAAGACCGGUGCCAGCCGCCACGGUAAUACCGGCGGCUCGAGUGGUGGCCACUUUUAUUGGGCUUAAAGCGUUCGUAGCUGGGUUGUUAAGUCUCUUGGGAAAUCUGGCAGCUUAACCGUCAGGCGUCUAAGGGAUACUGGCAAUCUUGGAACCGGGAGAGGUGAGGGGUACUUCGGGGGUAGGAGUGAAAUCCUGUAAUCCUCGAGGGACCACCUGUGGCGAAGGCGCCUCAACAGAACGGCUUCGACAGUGAGGGACCGAAAGCUGGCGGAGCAAAACGGAUUAGAUACCCGGGUAGUCCCAGACGGUAACUAUGCGCGUUACGUGUAU